GGAGUCAUUAUAAUUUGGAAGUGUCAACCAAAUUCACGGUCGACAACGACAGAUCAAAACACACGCGUUCAAUUGGCGCCAGCGAGAGCUUUCUAUGUAUCAUGCAUCCAUGAGUCAACUUAGCCUUUUAUAGAUAGAGAAUAAACUUGCU
Long non-coding RNA from Pipistrellus kuhlii (Kuhl's pipistrelle), 151 nucleotides. RefSeq lists it as uncharacterized. Lineage: Eukaryota; Metazoa; Chordata; Mammalia; Chiroptera; Vespertilionidae. The transcript has 3 exons. The record is from RefSeq and is a predicted model, not a curated record.